CAAGGGGGUGAAGGACUUGAGGGCUGCAACUGUGCGGCUAGCCACACCGUCACACUGGGUGCAGCAUCUGUCAUUCUGUACCCUCAUCU
Molecule: microRNA precursor, 89 nt
Organism: Chlorocebus sabaeus (green monkey)
Lineage: Eukaryota; Metazoa; Chordata; Mammalia; Primates; Cercopithecidae
Source: Ensembl